This 484-nucleotide ribosomal RNA is filed under the name uncultured bacterium. RNAcentral describes it as "partial 16S ribosomal RNA". It matches the Rfam family "Bacterial small subunit ribosomal RNA", at positions 30 to 507 of the family's 1533-position model. The record is from RNAcentral.
AUUGAACGCUGGCGGCAGGCCUAACACAUGCAAGUCGAGCGGAUGAAGGGAGCUUGCUCCUGGAUUCAGCGGCGGACGGGUGAGUAAUGCCUAGGAAUCUGCCUGGUCGUGGGGGAUAACGUCCGGAAACGGGCGCUAAUACCGCAUACGUCCUGAGGGCGAACGUGGGGGAUCUUCGGACCUCACGCUAUCAGAUGAGCCUAGGUCGGAUUAGCUAGUUGGUGGGGUAAAGGCCUACCAAGGCGACGAUCCGUAGCUGGUCUGAGAGGAUGAUCAGUCACACUGGAACUGAGACACGGUCCAGACUCCUACGGGAGGCAGCAGUGGGGAAUAUUGGACAAUGGGCGAAAGCCUGAUCCAGCCAUGCCGCGUGGGUGAAGAAGGCCUUCGGGUUGUAAAGCCCUUUUGUUGGGGAAGAAAAGCAGCAGGUUAAUACCUCGCUGUUUUGACGGUACCAAAAGAAUAAGCACCGGCUAACUUCGUG